RNAcentral lists this ribosomal RNA (198 nucleotides) under uncultured bacterium. Its description in RNAcentral is "partial 16S ribosomal RNA". It matches the Rfam family "Bacterial small subunit ribosomal RNA", at positions 326 to 539 of the family's 1533-position model. The record is from RNAcentral.
ACGCUCGACACCUACGAGGCAGCAGUUGGGAAUAUUGGACAAUGGAGGAAACUCUGAUCCAGUGACGCCGCGUGAAGGAAGAAGGUCUUCGGAUUGUAAACUUAUUUUGUCAGGGAAGAAAAAAUGACUGUACCUGAAGAAAAAGCACCGGCUAACUACGUGUCAGCAGCCGCGGUAAUCUGAGCGGGCUGGCAAGGC